This 432-nucleotide long non-coding RNA is filed under the name Amphibalanus amphitrite. RNAcentral describes it as "uncharacterized LOC122369597, transcript variant X1". The record is from RNAcentral. Lineage: Eukaryota; Metazoa; Arthropoda; Thecostraca; Balanomorpha; Balanidae.
GCGAAUAAUCUCGGAGAUGAGAGACAAGAUGCAAAGCCCAAUGAGCAUUCAAGAGUGUGCUCUUGUCAUUUUAGGAAUGGCAAGAAAGAAGCUGGUCCAACCCUAUUUGCUUGGAAUGACUUCAAGAGAAGGUUAUCGGCCGUCGUCCAAACGGUGCGCGCGGGCCCUCAUCUUGUCCGACGGCGCGCCCACUUCGCGACUGGCUCCGACCUCGCUUGGCGUUGGUACAAGAGCUGCCGGGAGUCGCCCUGCGUCCUCGGCGGGGAGCCGAGAUUCCGGGCGGGCCGACUCCAACGUUUCCACACGAUAUCGCUUUGAUAGCCAGGUUUCUUUCAAUGGUUAUUUCUGUAAUCGGUCACGAGGCGAAUCCUCGUUGAGCCUAAUUUGUUCUCCAGUCUGCCAAGUCUGGUUUGCUUUGUUGAUGCUGUACUA